GGACGAACGCUGGCGGCGUGGCUAAGACAUGCAAGUCGAACGGUAGGUUAUAGCAAUAUGGCCUAUAGUGGCGGACGGGUGAGUAAUAAAUAGGUAACGUACCCUGGGCACGGGGAUAGCGUCGUCCCGAGCAAUCGGGGCUUUGCGAAAGUGACGGUAAUACCCGGUAAUGUCCUCGAGUGGCAUCGCUUGAGGACCAGAGGUGGGGACCUUCGGGCCUAUCGGCCUGGGAGCGGCCUAUUUCCUACAGCUAGUUGUGAGGUAACGGCUCACCAAGGCUUCGACGGGUAACCGGACUGAGAGGUCGGCCGGUCACAUCGGGACUGAGACACUGCCCGGACAUCUACGGAUGGCUG
RNAcentral lists this ribosomal RNA (356 nucleotides) under uncultured bacterium. RNAcentral's name for it is "bacterial SSU rRNA". It matches the Rfam family "Bacterial small subunit ribosomal RNA", at positions 27 to 351 of the family's 1533-position model. The record is from RNAcentral.